AAUCAGUCCUCGAAAACGAGGUCGGCAUUCGGCAAUGCCGGGCUAAAUGCAAAUUUUGGCCCACCUUAAUUCAACCAAAGUAAGAAUUUUUUAUGCUGAUAGCUUUUAAAAUGUCAGCGAUUAUAGAAUUCGAUUCGUAGUUCGAUUAACUGAACACACUACGGUGUAAGGUUUAAAAACUGACGGGUAUUGUGUAUAUACGUUAGAUGUUUGAAGAUCAAAUUCUGGAGUUAAAAUUUGGCUCCAACUUUCGAACUUUCCGGCUGGAGGUAACGUUCCAGUUAUAUUCCGAUUUCAAUGAUUCGUAAAUGCGUGAUUAAUAGUGCUCCAAGACGUGGAACAGAUUUUAAGAAAUGCCGAGAUGUGCCGACCUAGGUCAGAUUUAGGUCGGCCCUCUUUUGCCGACCUCAAUUUUGACGGUUUUGACUUUUCGAGGGCUGCAAAAUGGAUGCCGACAGGAAUUUUGGGUUUUCUGAUUAUGCGUGUCUCAGAAUGAUGCAAAUGCCAUUUCCGGGAUUCAAAUUUAAAAAUUUUCCGUGCCUUCGGCACGAGCCUCCCCCCCCCCAAUAUUUCAUAAAAUGUCCGCCACUUGCACACACGGUGGCUUAAAAGGUCUUAAAACUGUUUAUUCUACCGAUAAAU
This is a non-coding RNA of Paramuricea clavata, 642 nucleotides long. NCBI's taxonomy places the organism in Eukaryota, Metazoa, Cnidaria, Anthozoa, Malacalcyonacea, Plexauridae. The record is from the annotation of a GenBank genome assembly.